Long non-coding RNA from Homo sapiens (human), 783 nucleotides. Lineage: Eukaryota; Metazoa; Chordata; Mammalia; Primates; Hominidae. The record is from Ensembl.
CUAGUUUUUGCCUCCACUACCUUACUGAUCAUGCAUUUGCAAGAUUAAGUAUUUCCAAUAUUUAUUAUUAUAAACCACAUAUUAUAUCUUUGUUACUAUCGCUGUAGUAUAUGACCUGGAACGGCUAGACUAAGAGUAUCACUCCAUCACCCAGGCUGGAGCACAGUGGUGCAACCUCAGCUCACUGCAAGCUCUGCCUCCUGGGUUCGAGUGAUUCAUGUGCCUCAGCCUCCCAAGAAGCUGGAAUUACAGAGUAAUCAAAAAGAGGAGCCGACUAGACACAGCCAGGAAGAGCUUCUCCCACCGGAAGACCAGACCAGCAAGAAAGUUGGCACCCUCCAAGCAGGUUGUUGAAAGGAAGGCCUUGAAUGUGGACAGAGGACGAUGCAGAUGAGGAAAGACUAGAAGGUUCUGUACCUGUUAACAGUGGCUGAUCCUAGAAGAGUGAAAUUUAGGGUAGUUGGAAAGAACACAGCACAGAAAACUUUAGGAUGAAUUUUCCUAGCAGCCAUUCUGUAUCGUCAAAGUUGUCAAAGCUGAAGGAUGAAAGAGCAAGCUUGCAAGAUGAGUUACGUGAGUAUGAAGAGCGAAUUAAUUCUAUGACUUCUCACUUCAAAAAUGUUAAGCAAGAGCUCUCAAUUACACAGUCUCUUUGCAAAGCAAGGGAGCGUGAGACUGAAAGUGAAGAACAUUUUAAGGCCAUUGCUCAAAGAGAAUUGGGACGAGUGAAAGAUGAAAUUCAACGGCUGGAAAAUGAGAUGGCUUCAAUACUGGAAAAGAAAA